AACAAACCUCGGUAGGUGAGGUUACCGAAAGGAUAUGGGUUGCUACCGUAAAAGAAUGGAAACACUCUGAGCUGGUAAGCAAGUUUUGUCGUAAGGCUUAACUUAAUGCAACUUCAGUGCCUUUUAGAGCCAAAACUUGAACGAGAAGAUUAUUU
Molecule: small RNA, 155 nt
Filed under: Sporanaerobacter sp. PP17-6a
Lineage: Bacteria; Bacillati; Bacillota; Tissierellia; Tissierellales; Sporanaerobacteraceae
Also listed under: 1 other name
Description: M-box riboswitch aptamer (ykoK leader)
Rfam family: M-box riboswitch aptamer (ykoK leader)
About the family: M-box riboswitch, also know as ykoK leader is described as a metaloregulatory RNA that sense divalent metals and function as a genetic control element of genes related to divalent metal transport in bacteria. It was first reported upstream of the B.subtilis ykoK gene and genes with related functions in other bacteria.
Source: Rfam by way of RNAcentral